Molecule: non-coding RNA, 1834 nt
Organism: Chiloscyllium plagiosum (whitespotted bambooshark)
Lineage: Eukaryota; Metazoa; Chordata; Chondrichthyes; Orectolobiformes; Hemiscylliidae
Source: RefSeq, a predicted model, not a curated record
GCUUAACAAGAGAUGAAAAUCUGUUUAGAAUUAAUCUUAGAAUAUAUUUGCCUACUUAGCACAACAAGAAUUUGGGCAGUACUCCAGGUGUAAUGCAAUGGGAAUAAUUAUGCAAGAUAAAUGAAUCAUUGUGACCUUUUAUUGGCCUCAGAAAUAAAAAAUUCAGUGGUGCCAAUGGCCAAAAAGAGAUACAGUGAAGAAACAAAGAUUGUGUCAAAACAAGGAAUGACUUGUUAUAUGAAACACAUCAGAAAGAAAAAGAAAGAAACAAUAUGAAGACCAAUCCAACUAAAAAAGGCAAAGAAACAAAGAAUCAAAGAUAUUUUAAAGAAAGAAUUUAACUCCACUGAACCAAUCAACUCAGUCACAGACAUCUUUAAAUUUGAAGCACUGAGACCAUUUGAAUCGAGCUUGAAAUCUACCAGGUCACCAAAUGACAAACGGUGCACCACCUGAACAGAUCACUAGUCAUGACUGAACACUACAGCCCGCAGUCCCGAGAGGAAGAAGUGCUUGAGUCGCAUGAGUACCGGGCAGGGGCACAGACCCGACCUGGACCUGCGCAUCGUGAUCUUGUGGGCCCGUUCCACACUUAUCCAGCCCAACUCAACCUCCAGCCCCAUCAACUCCAGGAGCCACUUCUCCAGGAACUUGGCCAGAUUCUCGCCUUUCUCGCCCUCCGGAAGACCCACUACACAUAAGCUUUAUCUCCGACCUUGAUUUUUGAGGUCAUCAACCUGUUCCAGCAAGGCCCAAACCUGGCCUUCCAAGGUUCAGAUCUGCUCCUCGGAGUUCUCGUCGCAGUCUCUGACGUUGUGGUCCUUUGCUCGACUGUUUCCACAUGUUGAUCUAAUGAUUGGAUCUCCUGCUCAUGCUUUUUCAGUAGAAAUUGGUUCCAGCGCCACUUCGAUUUUUUCACGGAGGUUCUCGAACUCCGAGAGUAGAUGUUGCUGCUCCACUGAGCUCAGAGGCGCCAGCACGCGAGUUGAAGCAGUGGAUGCAGGUGAACCUGACACAGUAGGGGAGUGUCUUGUCUGCUGUACUCCUCUUGCUCCUUUUCCUUUGUUUGCCUUCAUCUUGACUCCAAAGCCUCCAAAUUCAAAUUGAAAAGUUUCUAGAUGUUUUGCUCGCUUCACACUGCUAAUUUUUCUUAUGGGUGGCUAAUGGGGGAGGGGGAGUGGAAGCCCAUCUUGCCCAAAGUAUGGCACAGAGGCCAACACAGCAGAUUUUUCAGACUGCCGCCAUCUUGAAUCUUCGAAUUAUCUCCAUAUUAAACUAAGUAGGAAUCUCACUCAGAGAAACCACUGUCAUGGCAAAGAAAAAGUAGAAGGUACUCUUCUGAAGUUAUGACUGAGACAUGUUGUUGGGAUACAGUUGAGAUAGCUAUACACUGCAUUCAACAUAUUGUAAUUCAGCUAGAACUGAUAAUUGCUAGGACUGAAUGAAAUAGAAAAAUGUCCAUAUCUAGCUCUAAUGCCAUAACCUCCUUUGCACAAUAAAAAAAUCAAAAUGAAUACACUAGCAAGGAGAAAGAGUCUUCAUCUACUGAGCCCUCAGAUAUUGGUAUCAAUUCAUUUUCAAAUAUGACAUGAUAUUUAUCACAUACAGAGGAAUCUCGAUUAUCCGAAAGACACAGGCACAGAGUAAUUCGUUCAGUUAAUCAAAUUCUGGACAAUCGAAUGUUGGAUAACAUAAUUUAGCCAAGCAUUGGGACCUUGCGAUCUUGCCGGAUAAUCUGAUAUUCUGAUAAUUGAAUGUCAGGUAAUUGAGGUUCCUUUGUACAUACUUCACCUUGUACUUAGCAAUAAGACAAAGGAAACGUAUGCAAACAGCA